This is a long non-coding RNA of Gopherus evgoodei (Goodes thornscrub tortoise), 2963 nucleotides long. RefSeq lists it as uncharacterized. The record is from RefSeq and is a predicted model, not a curated record. NCBI's taxonomy places the organism in Eukaryota, Metazoa, Chordata, Testudines, Testudinidae. The transcript is spliced from 5 exons.
AUGAACCAGCGUUUCCCCUCCCUCUAUCGUGAUGUACUGGGGUCUUGGUGGUGACUCCUCCCAUUGUCUGGUGGGGAGGGGGGGACAUAUGCUGCUGAGAUGGCAGAUGCUGAGACCUGUGAAAAUUUUGCUCAUCCAGUCAGCACUUACCAAAACAAAAAAAGGAGAACACUUACUUUGGCCAGAGGGUAGCAAUUCGCUAACAAACCCAAAUAAACUGUCCAGCCAGAGGGGAAACUGAGGCAAUGGCUGCAUCCUAAUUCCAGAGCAGGAUGCCAAUGAAGGCCAGGGUGUGGAGCUAGCGGGAACAUAGAGGAGGACGCCCGGAAGAAAGAGGAGCAUGUUAUCCUGCACCUCUACCCAGAGGAGCAGGUUGAGCAAGCCCCUCCUGACAAGCAAGGAGGACCUUGAGGCUCAGUACAAAUUGGAACCUGAGGCUGGAUCUUCCGCUGAGCAGAGUGAACCCAUUCUACCCAGGAAUAGUAGAGGAAGACAGAAAAGGACACUGGAAGACCUGGUCAUUGGGAUCAACAGAUGGAGCCAGGAGCAGUUUCCCUUUAUGAGGGAAAGGGAAAAACAGGAUAUUGAGUAGGAGGAACAGGCUAUGCAGCAGGAGAUAUUUUCAAAGACAAGAGGUAUUAAUUAUCUGGUUCCUGUAGCAAUAUGCACAGAGCUUGUCCAAAGGGACUGGGAGUAUGCCCUGUUGCAAUCCCUGGUACAAGUGAUAGAGGAACGGAAUCGGGUUCUGCCUGCAUAAUAGCUGCUCCCAUAACUGGGAACUGCCACCUUCUUCUCCAGCUACUCCUCUUCCUACUGCAUCUACAUCCCACCAUGACGCUGAAGCAGAGGACUCACCCCAUCCACCACGACAGUCCCAGUCUCUUCAGCACCUUGGCAUCAUUAACCUUUCUUGUGUGUCCAAUGUUAGUGUUCAUAAAUCUGACUUUGUGGUCCACUAUGCCUUGAAGAAUGAGUGAAGAGUAACCUUUUUGAUUGAUGCACUCACUCGUGCCUUUUGGAGGGCAAAGUAGAGGAAUGUAGGUGCCAUUGAUGUCCUCCCCCACCCCCAGUUUAGAAACCCCAUUCUCUGGAACCCAGCAAUAAUUUUUGGUACUUUGAUGAUGGAGACCACCCAAGCGUAGAUGAGUGUUGAAACUUGCACCAGCCUCAAAAGGGGACUUCCCCACCCUGAAGUGGUUUGCAGCUGACCAGUAGCUGUCUGAUAUUGCCAGCUCCCAGAGGGCAAUAGCCACCCGCUUCUCUGCUGGUAUGGGUCUUCGGAAAUGAGUACUCUGCUGCAGUAGGAUUGAGACCAGCUCCUCACAGAGCUCUAUGAAAGUCUGCUUUCUCAUUCUGAAGUUCUGCAGUCACUGGUCCUCCUGCCAGCUUUCCAAGAUGAUAUGAUCCCACCACACUGUGCUGGUUCUCCUGGUCCAGAAGUGAUGGUCCACCCAUGGACAUACAGUCACAGCACAAGCAGUGUCCUGUAUCUUGGAGUAACAGUGGAUCAGUCACCACCUCGAUCAUCCGUUUUCAGCUUUUGAGAAGGGUCCAAGUCUAUACAACUAGGAUUCUUGUUGGCUGUAUCUCACACACACACAUACACACACUCUUUCUCCUCCCCCACCCCCCACAGGAGCAGAAUUGCCUCAUCAGUCACUUGUUCUAUGUCUUCGACCAAGUUAGGCAGGAGAGAAGGGUGAGCGGGAGGUGCCAUCAUCAAAUGUGCGAAGCUGUCUGCAGUACCUCCCACACACAGCAAGGUAAAUCCAAGAUCCUCUUCUCCGAUGCGCAGAACACUGAGAUACCAACCCUGAAACACUAGAGCUAACCUCAUGCACCAAAAGAAGUUAGUGUGGAUGGGGAUGUACCCAGGUACCUACAGAGUGUGUACCUGUGUCCAGCACAGUAUAUGUGGACACUCAGUACAGGCAUGGGUAUAUGUGCAAGCAUACGUAUGGCCCUGUAUCCCCGUCCAGGCACCAGUGUAGAUGUAGUUCUGAGUACUUCUAGAGUGCUGGCACCUCUGAAAUACCAAUGUAAAUUUUGUCACAUUACUACACAUAGUGGGGAAUUACACAUGUAGAUGAAGUAAUUAAAUAUGUAGUUUAGCAUCUUUUAAAUAAGUAUUCUGUGAGUUAAUAACUGUGCCUUACCAAAUGUAUUAGCUCAAUCUUUGGCUGUGGCUGAGAAGCAGACAAUACAACUCAGAAGCAGAGCUGUAAUACACUUUUGUGCUCCAUGUUUCUGAGCCAUCUAUACCCCAGACCAGUCCCCCGGCAUAAUUUAGAGUAGCCUUCAGACUGUUCUAAUUUAAGAUGACUGCCAGAGGCCCCAAGAGUACAUAAUAGAAGACAGAGAUUGCUAGGAUUCCAGGAAAAUGUGGCCAUGUCCUUUUCUUGUUAGCCACAUCCAACACCCACCACUCCAAAUGAAAUGGGUUGCACAGGAGUCAUUAAACUGACUGUCCCUAGAGUGGAGUGAUCUGUCCAUAAGUAACCACUGGUGAUUUCCUUGCCAGCGUGGUACAAAGCAACCUUGGUACAGGUGAGGACUGGGACUAUUGAAUUUGUGUGUGUACUGACAAAGGUAAGGUUGCUAUCUUUUUAACUGCAUGUAUGUAUUCAAACAUUAUGUGUGAAACAUUGUCAUUUUAUUAAAGAUGGAUAAAGAAUUUUAACUUAGAAAGUUAACUUUUUUAUCCACCUGAGGAAAAAGGGGAGUGUGAAGCCCAAAGCUGCUAGAAAAGAGGCUAAGGGCCUCUGGGCCCAGGAGGGCAAUAGGGCAGCAGUAAUGGAGUCCUCCUGCUUGUUGGACCAGCAGCAUUAAAUGUAUUGUAUAGGCCCUGUGUGUAAGUGUGUAGGUAGCAUGAGGGCAACAUUAACUGAAUUUAGGGAUAGCCUGGGUAGAGACCACCCCACUUAACCAAAUACCCCUCUCCUUGGAGCCCCACAAGAAGCCAA